GUGAUUAUAGCUCAGUGGUAGAGUGCUCACCUGGCAUGUGAGAACAAGGGAUCAAUUCCUGGUACCU
Molecule: transfer RNA, 67 nt
Filed under: Marmota monax (woodchuck)
Lineage: Eukaryota; Metazoa; Chordata; Mammalia; Rodentia; Sciuridae
Description: tRNA.Ala
Source: RNAcentral